CGGCGCACGGGUGCGCACCGCGUAUGGAACCUACCUUUUACAGAGGGAUAGCCCAGGGAAACUUGGAUUAAUACCUCAUGGUAUCAUUUUUUAGCAUUAUUAAAUGAUUAAAGACUUCGGUCGGUAAAAGAUGGCCAUGCGUCCCAUUAGCUAGAUGGUAAGGUAACGGCUUACCAUGGCUACGAUGGGUAGGGGCCCUGAGAGGGGGAUCCCCCACACUGGUACUGAGACACGGACCAGACUCCUACGGGAGGCAGCAGUGAGGAAUAUUGGACAAUGGAGGAGACUCUGAUCCAGCCAUGCCGCGUGCAGGAAGAAUGCCCUAUGGGUAGUAAACUGCUUUUAUACAGGAAGAAAAAAGAGUACGUGUACUCUACUGACGGUACUGUAAGAAUAAGGACCGGCUAACUCCGUGCCAGCAGCCGCGGUAAUACGGAGGGUCCGAGCGUUAUCCGGAAUUAUUGGGUUUAAAGGGUCCGUAGGCGGGUCAAUAAGUCAGGGGUGAAAGUUUGCAGCUCAACUGUAAAAUUGCCUUUGAUACUGUUGGUCUUGAGUUAUAGUGAAGUUGCCGGAAUAUGUAGUGUAGCGGUGAAAUGCAUAGAUAUUACAUAGAACACCGAUUGCGAAGGCAGGUGACUAACUAUAUACUGACGCUGAUGGACGAAAGCGUGGGGAGCGAACAGGAUUAGAUACCCUGGUAGUCCACGCCGUAAACGAUGGAUACUAGCUGUCCGAGACCUUGAGUCUUGGGCGGCCAAGCGAAAGUGAUAAGUAUCCCACCUGGGGAGUACGUUCGCAAGAAUGAAACUCAAAGGAAUUGACGGGGGCCCGCACAAGCGGUGGAGCAUGUGGUUUAAUUCGAUGAUACGCGAGGAACCUUACCAGGGCUUAAAUGUAGAUUGACAGGACUAGAGAUAGUUUUUCCUUCGGGCAAUUUACAAGGUGCUGCAUGGUUGUCGUCAGCUCGUGCCGUGAGGUGUCAGGUUAAGUCCUAUAACGAGCGCAACCCCUGCCGUUAGUUGCCAGCAUGUUAAGAUGGGGACUCUAACGGGACUGCCGGUGCAAACCGUGAGGAAGGUGGGGAUGACGUCAAAUCAUCACGGCCCUUACGUCCUGGGCCACACACGUGCUACAAUGGUCGGUACAGAGAGCAGCCAUGUUGCAAGACAGAGCGAAUCUAUAAAACCGAUCACAGUUCGGAUCGGGGUCUGCAACUCGACCCCGUGAAGCUGGAAUCGCUAGUAAUCGGAUAUCAGCCAUGAUCCGGUGAAUACGUUCCCGGGCCUUGUACACACCGCCCGUCAAGCCAUGGAAGCCGGGAGUGCCUGAA
RNAcentral lists this ribosomal RNA (1330 nucleotides) under Maribacter vaceletii. RNAcentral's name for it is "16S ribosomal RNA". It matches the Rfam family "Bacterial small subunit ribosomal RNA", at positions 96 to 1425 of the family's 1533-position model. Lineage: Bacteria; Pseudomonadati; Bacteroidota; Flavobacteriia; Flavobacteriales; Flavobacteriaceae. The record is from RNAcentral.